Strongylocentrotus purpuratus (purple sea urchin) is the source of this 555-nucleotide long non-coding RNA. RefSeq lists it as uncharacterized. The record is from RefSeq and is a predicted model, not a curated record. The transcript has 3 exons. Lineage: Eukaryota; Metazoa; Echinodermata; Echinoidea; Camarodonta; Strongylocentrotidae.
AUAAAACGAACAACAACAACAACGAACUUCCAACUUUUUUUUAUUUGUCGUCGGCAAUGAACGAACAGACGAACUCUCAUCAUACACAUGAUUUAACUAGAUUGCGAGCUACACCACCUUAUCCUUGUAACAAAUCCAGGAUCUCAGAGGCACAUAUGCCUUCUCAGUUUAAAAUUACUGAAUUCUUUCAAGUGUACAAUUGAAUAAGCUUGAAUUUGUGUCUGUCUCCUGACAAGGUUGAAGAUAUGACCAGUCCAUAUAAGCUCCUAUUACCAGAUAAUUUCGCUUCAUGGUAGUGUAACCAAGCAAGUCAUCAUGAUUCGACACCAGGCAGAGACUUUUAUAAUAACCUGGGUUGCCUAUGCUUCAACCUAUCUUCUACGUAAACCUCUUGGAGUGGUGAAAGCAGACCUUGCAUCAGAGCUUUCUAUGAGCAAGGCUCAACUUGGGUGGUUAGAUACAUCAAUGCUUCUUCCAUAUGCCACAGUUCAGGUAUAGUAUCCAUUGCCUUUCAGAGGAUAUAUAUAUCCAAGGUUUUAAAUUAUUUUUCAGUGA